GACGAACGCUGGCGGCGUGCCUAAUACAUGCAAGUAGAACGCUGAAGAGAGGAGCUUGCUCUUCUUGGAUGAGUUGCGAACGGGUGAGUAACGCGUAGGUAACCUGCCUUGUAGCGGGGGAUAACUAUUGGAAACGAUAGCUAAUACCGCAUAACAAUGGAUGACACAUGUCAUUUAUUUGAAAGGGGCAAUUGCUCCACUACAAGAUGGACCUGCGUUGUAUUAGCUAGUAGGUGAGGUAAUGGCUCACCUAGGCGACGAUACAUAGCCGACCUGAGAGGGGGAACGGCCACACUGGGACUGAGACACGGCCCAGACUCCUACGGGAGGCAGCAGGAGGGAAUCUUCGGCAAUGGGGGCAACCCUGACCGAGCAACGCCGCGGGAGUGAAGAAGGGUUUCGGAUCGUAAAGCUCGGUUGUAAGUCAAGAACGGGUGUGAGAGUGGAAAGUUCACACUGUGACGGUAGCUUACCAGAAAGGGACGGCUAACUACGUG
Molecule: ribosomal RNA, 497 nt
Filed under: uncultured bacterium
Lineage: Bacteria
Description: partial 16S ribosomal RNA
Rfam family: Bacterial small subunit ribosomal RNA
Source: RNAcentral